Molecule: ribosomal RNA, 490 nt
Filed under: uncultured bacterium
Lineage: Bacteria
Description: bacterial SSU rRNA
Rfam family: Bacterial small subunit ribosomal RNA
Source: RNAcentral
GAUGAACGCUAGCUACAGGCUUAACACAUGCAAGUCGAGGGGCAGCAUGAACAAAGCUUGCUUUGUUUGAUGGCGACCGGCGCACGGGUGCGUAACACGUAUCCAAUCUGCCCGCGGCUCGGGGAUAGCCCAUCGAAAGAUGGAUUAAUACCCGAUGGUGUGGUUUCUCCGCAUGGGGUUUCCACUAAAGGUUUUCCGGCCGCGGAUGAGGAUGCGUAUGAUUAGGUAGUAGGCGGGGUAACGGCCCACCUAGCCUUCGAUCAUUAGGGGUUCUGAGAGGAAGGUCCCCCANACUGGAACUGAGACACGGUCCAUACUCCUACGGGAGGCAGCAGUGAGGAAUAUUGGUCAAUGGGCGAGAGCCUGAACCAGCCAAGUAGCGUGAAGGAAGACUGCCCUAUGGGUUGUAAACUUCUUUUGUUCGGGAAUAAAGUGCAGUACGCGUACUGUUUUGUAUGUACCGUUCGAAUAGGCAUCGGCUAAUUCCGUG